AUUUGGUGCUGGGGGCACUUGAUACACAACUUCUUGAAUCGCUCCCAGUAGUCGUACAGUGACUCCCCUGGGUACUGCUUGAUACCACAGAUCUCUUUUUUUAGACU
Coffea eugenioides is the source of this 107-nucleotide small nucleolar RNA. The record is from RefSeq and is a predicted model, not a curated record. NCBI's taxonomy places the organism in Eukaryota, Viridiplantae, Streptophyta, Magnoliopsida, Gentianales, Rubiaceae.